RNAcentral lists this ribosomal RNA (1121 nucleotides) under Salmonella enterica. RNAcentral describes it as "partial 23S ribosomal RNA". It matches the Rfam family "Bacterial large subunit ribosomal RNA", at positions 711 to 1748 of the family's 2925-position model. Lineage: Bacteria; Pseudomonadati; Pseudomonadota; Gammaproteobacteria; Enterobacterales; Enterobacteriaceae. The record is from RNAcentral.
AGACCCGAAACCCGGUGAUCUAGCCAUGGGCAGGUUGAAGGUUGGGUAACACUAACUGGAGGACCGAACCGACUAAUGUUGAAAAAUUAGCGGAUGACCUGUGGCUGGGGGUGAAAGGCCAAUCAAACCGGGAGAUAGCUGGUUCUCCCCGAAAGCUAUUUAGGUAGCGCCUCGUGAAUUCAUCUCCGGGGGUAGAGCACUGUUUCGGCUAGGGGGCCAUCCCGGCUUACCAACCCGAUGCAAACUGCGAAUACCGGAGAAUGUUAUCACGGGAGACACACGGCGGGUGCUAACGUCCGUCGUGAAGAGGGAAACAACCCAGACCGCCAGCUAAGGUCCCAAAGUCAUGGUUAAGUGGGAAACGAUGUGGGAAGGCCCAGACAGCCAGGAUGUUGGCUUAGAAGCAGCCAUCAUUUAAAGAAAGCGUAAUAGCUCACUGGUCGAGUCGGCCUGCGCGGAAGAUGUAACGGGGCUAAACCAUGCACCGAAGCUGCGGCAGCGAACGUAUCACUUAAAGCGAUUCAGCGGGUUACGAUUGACGGAGCGAAGCGACGUCAAAGCGUAUACAAAGUCGAGUCGGUUUAAGGAUACGUUCGUUGGGUAGGGGAGCGUUCUGUAAGCCUGUGAAGGUGUGUCGUGAGGCAUGCUGGAGGUAUCAGAAGUGCGAAUGCUGACAUAAGUAACGAUAAAGCGGGUGAAAAGCCCGCUCGCCGGAAGACCAAGGGUUCCUGUCCAACGUUAAUCGGGGCAGGGUGAGUCGACCCCUAAGGCGAGGCCGAAAGGCGUAGUCGAUGGGAAACGGGUUAAUAUUCCCGUACUUGGUGUUACUGCGAAGGGGGGACGGAGAAGGCUAUGUUGGCCGGGCGACGGUUGUCCCGGUUUAAGCGUGUAGGUGUGUGUUCCAGGUAAAUCCGGUUCACUUUAACACUGAGGCGUGACGACGAGGCACUACGGUGCUGAAGCAACAAAUGCCCUGCUUCCAGGAAAAGCCUCUAAGCAUCAGGUAACAUCAAAUCGUACCCCAAACCGACACAGGUGGUCAGGUAGAGAAUACCAAGGCGCUUGAGAGAACUCGGGUGAAGGAACUAGGCAAAAUGGUGCCGUAACUUCGGGAGAAGGCA